Molecule: small RNA, 242 nt
Filed under: Propithecus coquereli (Coquerel's sifaka)
Lineage: Eukaryota; Metazoa; Chordata; Mammalia; Primates; Indriidae
Description: 7SK RNA (ENSPCOG00000003762.1)
Rfam family: 7SK RNA
About the family: 7SK was discovered as an abundant small nuclear RNA in the mid-70s but a possible function has only recently been suggested. Two independent studies have found that 7SK RNA binds the CDK9/cyclin T complex (known as elongation factor P-TEFb).
Source: RNAcentral
AGAUGCUAGAUGAACUGAUGACUAUCACCUCAUUGGCCACCAGAUCCUAUUCUUUUUACUAACCUGAUUGGUCAGAUGGGUAUCUCUUCCUUCCUUCUCCAUACCAUGUGUGUCUUAUCUGAAACAAUUCACUCAAUCAAGAAAAAUUACCUUUCUUCAUAGAAGAGGACUCUCCUUUGCACAAGGGUAAUGACUUUCUCCUACUAGAAUUUCCAUAUAAGGUUUAAUAGAUCCACAGCUGU